RNAcentral lists this small nuclear RNA (103 nucleotides) under Soboliphyme baturini. Lineage: Eukaryota; Metazoa; Nematoda; Enoplea; Dioctophymatida; Soboliphymatidae. The record is from RNAcentral.
CCCCAUUAUGUGGAAAAAUAAUAAAACUGGAAUGAAAGAAAGAAAAUGAGCAUGGCCCCUGCGCAAGGAUCACAAAGAAUAUUUUGUGGCAUGAUGGCCAAAC